ACGUCAAAAAUGGUUCCUUUAAAGUCAACCAUUCUCUUUGAUUGUAGUCACCUUAAGCUACCAAUUAGCUUAUGAAGGUUUCAUUAUUUCGAGUCAAAUGGUACUUUACCAUUUCCUUGAGUAUAUAUCGUAUAUGCACUCAAUGUAGUCAUAAAGUUCAAAAAACCAUUCAACUGAGACGGUUUAUAAAUCCUUAUCGACUACCUUGGAGCUUGUGGUAUAGGAACUAGGUUGUUAUAUUUGUUGAUUACUAUCUUGUCUCUCAAAGAACCCAUUCUUCGAGUUCUAUCUCUCGUUCAUUUGCUUUUAGGCAAAUCACAUUGUAGAAUUACAAUGAACUACCCAACAAAACAACAUUUGUUAGUUGGUUUAUAGAAGCGAUAUCCAAAAGUUAUUUUAAGGAUAUCCUACCAGAUUGUUAUCUAACAAAUAUUGCUUAUUAGCACACAACCCCAAAUCUUAACAUGCUUAAGAUUUGUUUUUCUUUCCAACUACAUCUUAUGGAGUCAUGAAAAUAUUGGAAGAUCUUCUCAUUGACAAUCAUAUUGUUUUAGAAGUAUAUAUCCUAUAUAUGGGUAAUAGAUAAUAUCUAACGAACUAAAUCUUAUUCAAGUUCGUUCUUCUCCUAAUGGAGAAAUACAUUAUCUUAUGAUGCUUAUUUCCUUGAUAUCUUUCAAGGAAACUCAUCUAAAGUGUUACCUUUCCUUGGAUCAAAUCUAAGGAGGUAAUUACUUUAGAUGUCUUACUCAUCAACUUACAUUUCUUGAAUUCUUUGAAACAUUUUGCAAAGUAUUCGGACUUGUGUUUAUUCAAAAUAAACUAUAGUCCAACCGAGAGUGAUCUUCGGUGAAUGUGAUUCAACAUGAGUAGUAUUUAUGUUUGUGGACAAGUGCCACUAACAUCUAAGUGAAUUGGCCUCAACAACUUUGUGAUUCUUUCUUCUUUUCAAAAGAAUAAAGAUUCGAACAUUUCGCCUCUAUACAAUUUUAACAAGAAGGUAUUGGAUCCGGAUGUAACGAUCCAAAGCGUCCAUCUAUGACCAACUCGUAAUUUAUGUUUUAGAGGUAUCACAA
RNAcentral lists this long non-coding RNA (1073 nucleotides) under Malus domestica (apple). RNAcentral's name for it is "long non-coding RNA (MDOM_LNC012553)". Lineage: Eukaryota; Viridiplantae; Streptophyta; Magnoliopsida; Rosales; Rosaceae. The record is from RNAcentral.